GGAGUAGGCCGCCAGGGACGUGCCCUGGACGUCGAGGAUCGCCCCGGCCGCGAUGGUCACGGUGUGGGUCCCCGGGCCGAAGGGGCCGGGCAGGGUGAACGUCAGCGUGUCGCCGUCGGUCAGGGUGACGGCGGUGGCGGCGAUGCCGUCGAUCCGCAGGUCGGACGCCUGCACGCUGGUCGUCAGGUAGGCGUCGUUGAAAUUGACGACCAUGGUGGUCGGCGAGGUCAGCAGCACCGCCCCGUUGGCCGGGGUGGUGGUCGUCACCUGGAAGGCCGGCGCCGUGACCGUGU
RNAcentral lists this unclassified non-coding RNA (293 nucleotides) under plant metagenome. Its description in RNAcentral is "partial contains 5.8S ribosomal RNA, internal transcribed spacer 2, and large subunit ribosomal RNA". The record is from RNAcentral.